UCGAUUAUCCUUCUGUAUUAC
Molecule: non-coding RNA, 21 nt
Filed under: Caenorhabditis elegans
Lineage: Eukaryota; Metazoa; Nematoda; Chromadorea; Rhabditida; Rhabditidae
Source: RNAcentral